This 460-nucleotide unclassified non-coding RNA is filed under the name rhizosphere metagenome. Its description in RNAcentral is "partial ribosomal RNA internal transcribed spacer region". The record is from RNAcentral.
GUAGGUGAACCUGCGGAGGGAUCAUUAACACGUGCCCAAAACACGUUUUAAACCAAUCGCUCUGUGAACACAAACCCAACUCCCUUCACAUGUGGACGACCGAACAACCAUCAGGGUGGAGAGCGUGUGCAUAUGGAAUAAUCGAAUCGGAAACGAGGAGACUCCGUAUGUCGUGUGACUAUGGCUCGGUCUAAAGCUCCUUCGAGAGUCCAAUCCUGUGCGAAGCGAUGCGCGACCACCUGGCAGUGUGCCUUUCUCAUGGCUUGCAUUCGUGCGGGCUGUGUGACUGCGCAAGCGUUCUGCCGAAUGUUUAACCCCACUUUUUUAACCCCUUUAACAACAUACUAAUAACUGAACCAUGUUCAUGCAGUUGCUUGCCUGACUUCGGUCAAGGCAUGUUGGCUCAUGAUACGAUAUACGUAAUGCUGAACAACUCUUAGCAAUGGAUAUCUUGGUUCUC